RNAcentral lists this ribosomal RNA (496 nucleotides) under uncultured bacterium. RNAcentral's name for it is "partial 16S ribosomal RNA". It matches the Rfam family "Bacterial small subunit ribosomal RNA", at positions 29 to 507 of the family's 1533-position model. The record is from RNAcentral.
AUGAACGCUGGCGGCGUGCCUAAUACAUGCAAGUCGAGCGAACGGACGAGAAGCUUGCUUCUCUGAUGUUAGCGGCGGACGGGUGAGUAACACGUGGAUAACCUACCUAUAAGACUGGGAUAACUUCGGGAAACCGUAGCUAAUACCGGAUAAUAUUUUGAACCGCAUGGUUCAAAAGUGAAACACGGUCUUGCUGUCACUUAUAGAUGGAUCCGCGCUGCAUUAGCUAGUUGGUAAGGUAACGGCUUACCAAGGCAACGAUGCAUAGCCGACCUGAGAGGGUGAUCGGCCACACUGGAACUGAGACACGGUCCAGACUCCUACGGGAGGCAGCAGUAGGGAAUCUUCCGCAAUGGGCGAAAGCCUGACGGAGCAACGCCGCGUGAGUGAUGAAGGUCUUCGGAUCGUAAAACUCUGUUAUUAGGGAAGAACAUAUGUGUAAGUAACUGUGCACAUCUUGACGGUACCUAAUCAGAAAGCCACGGCUAACUACGUG